UACGUAGGGUGCGAGCGUUGCCCGGAAUUACUGGGCGUAAAGAGCUCGUAGGUGGUUUGUCGCGUUGUUCGUGAAAACCGGGGGCUUAACCCUCGGCGUGCGGGCGAUACGGGCAGACUUGAGUACUGCAGGGGAGACUGGAAUUCCUGGUGUAGCGGUGGAAUGCGCAGAUAUCAGGAGGAACACCGGUGGCGAAGGCGGGUCUCUGGGCAGUAACUGACGCUGAGGAGCGAAAGCGUGGGGAGCGAACAGG
Molecule: ribosomal RNA, 253 nt
Filed under: uncultured bacterium
Lineage: Bacteria
Description: partial 16S ribosomal RNA
Rfam family: Bacterial small subunit ribosomal RNA
Source: RNAcentral